CCUACGGGUGGCAGCAGUGAGGAAUAUUGGUCAAUGGGCGGAAGCCUGAACCAGCCAAGUCGCGUGAGGGAAUAAGGCCCUACGGGUCGUAAACCUCUUUUGCCGGGGAGCAAGGGCGGGGACGUGUCCCGGCCCGGAGAGUACCCGGAGAAAAAGCAUCGGCUAACUCCGUGCCAGCAGCCGCGGUAAUACGUAGGUGGCGAGCGUUAUCCGGAAUGAUUGGGCGUAAAGGGUGCGCAGGCGGUCCUGCAAGUCUGGAGUGAAACGCAUGAGCUCAACUCAUGCAUGGCUUUGGAAACUGGAGGACUGGAGAGCAGGAGAGGGCGGUGGAACUCCAUGUGUAGCGGUAAAAUGCGUAGAUAUAUGGAAGAACACCAGUGGCGAAGGCGGCCGCCUGGCCUGUUGCUGACGCUGAGGCACGAAAGCGUGGGGAGCAAAUAGGAUUAGAUACCCUUGUAGUC
RNAcentral lists this ribosomal RNA (461 nucleotides) under uncultured bacterium. Its description in RNAcentral is "partial 16S ribosomal RNA". It matches the Rfam family "Bacterial small subunit ribosomal RNA", at positions 338 to 795 of the family's 1533-position model. The record is from RNAcentral.